AUUGAACGCUGGCGGCAUGCCUUACACAUGCAAGUCGAACGGCAGCACGGGGGCAACCCUGGUGGCGAGUGGCGAACGGGUGAGUAACAUAUCGGAACAUACCCUAGAGUGGGGGAUAACGUAGCGAAAGUUACGCUAAUACCGCAUACGAUCUAAGGAUGAAAGUGGGGGAUCUUCGGACCUCAUGCUCAUGGAGUGGCCGAUAUCUGAUUAGCUAGUUGAUGAGGUAAAGGCUCACCAAGGCGACGAUCAGUAGCUGGUUUGAGAGAACGACCAGCCACACUGGAACUGAGACACGGCCCAGACUCCUACGGGAGGCAGCAGUGGGGAAUAUUGGACAAUGGGCGAAAGCCUGAUCCAGCCAUGCCGCGUGAGUGAUGAAGGCCUUAGGGUUGUAAAGCUCUUUCUACCCACGACGAUGAUGACGGUAGUGGGAGAAGAAGCCCCGGCUAACUUCGUGCCAGCAGCCGCGGUAAU
This 477-nucleotide ribosomal RNA is filed under the name uncultured bacterium. Its description in RNAcentral is "bacterial SSU rRNA". It matches the Rfam family "Bacterial small subunit ribosomal RNA", at positions 30 to 524 of the family's 1533-position model. The record is from RNAcentral.